RNAcentral lists this ribosomal RNA (490 nucleotides) under uncultured bacterium. Its description in RNAcentral is "partial 16S ribosomal RNA". It matches the Rfam family "Bacterial small subunit ribosomal RNA", at positions 30 to 507 of the family's 1533-position model. The record is from RNAcentral.
AUUGAACGCUGGCGGCAGGCCUAACACAUGCAAGUCGAACGGUAACAGGAAGCAGCUUGCUGCUUCGCUGACGAGUGGCGGACGGGUGAGUAAUGUCUGGGAAACUGCCUGAUGGAGGGGGAUAACUACUGGAAACGGUAGCUAAUACCGCAUAACGUCGCAAGACCAAAGAGGGGGACCUUAGGGCCUCUUGCCAUCGGAUGCGCCCAGAUGGGAUUAGCUAGUAGGUGGGGUAACGGCUCACCUAGGCGACGAUCCCUAGCUGGUCUGAGAGGAUGACCAGCCACACUGGAACUGAGACACGGUCCAGACUCUUACGGGAGGCAGCAGUGGGGAAUAUUGCACAAUGGGCGCAAGCCUGAUGCAGCCAUGCCGCGUGUAUGAAGAAGGCCUUCGGGUUGUAAAGUACUUUCAGCGGGGAGGAAGGGAGUAAAGUUAAUACCUUUGCUCAUUGACGUUACCCGCAGAAGAAGCACCGGCUAACUCCGUG